CUUAAAUUGAAGAGUUUGAUCAUGGCUCAGAUUGAACGCUGGCGGCAGGCCUAACACAUGCAAGUCGAGCGGCAGCGGGAAGAAGCUUGCUUCUUUGCCGGCGAGCGGCGGACGGGUGAGGUAAGU
RNAcentral lists this ribosomal RNA (126 nucleotides) under Brenneria goodwinii. Its description in RNAcentral is "partial 16S ribosomal RNA". It matches the Rfam family "Bacterial small subunit ribosomal RNA", at positions 1 to 116 of the family's 1533-position model. Lineage: Bacteria; Pseudomonadati; Pseudomonadota; Gammaproteobacteria; Enterobacterales; Pectobacteriaceae. The record is from RNAcentral.